Molecule: ribosomal RNA, 446 nt
Filed under: uncultured bacterium
Lineage: Bacteria
Description: partial 16S ribosomal RNA
Rfam family: Bacterial small subunit ribosomal RNA
Source: RNAcentral
CCUACGGGUGGCAGCAGUCGAGAAUCAUUCACAAUGGGGGAAACCCUGAUGGUGCGACGCCGCGUGGGGGAAUGAAGGUCUUCGGAUUGUAAACCCCUGUCAUGUGGGCGCAAAUUAAAAAGAUAGUACCACACGAGGAAGAGACGGCUAACUCUGUGCCAGCAGCCGCGGUAAUACAGAGGUCUCAAGCGGUGUUCGGAAUCACUGGGCGUAAAGCGUGCGUAGGCUGUUUCGUAAGUCGUGUGUGAAAGGCGCGGGCUCAACCCGCGGACGGCACAUGAUACUGCGAGACUAGAGUAAUGGAGGGGGAACCGGAAUUCUCGGUGUAGCAGUGAAAUGCGUAGAUAGCGAGAGGAACACUCGUGGCGAAGGCGGGUUCCUGGACAUUAACUGACGCUGAGGCACGAAGGCCAGGGGAGCGAAAGGGAUUAGAUACCCUGGUAGUC